UACGAAGGGGGCUAGCGUUGUUCGGAAUUACUGGGCGUAAAGCGCACGUAGGCGGAUAUUUAAGUCAGGGGUGAAAUCCCAGAGCUCAACUCUGGAACUGCCUUUGAUACUGGGUAUCUCGAGUAUGGAAGAGGUUAGUGGAACUGCGAGUGUAGAGGUGAAAUUCGUAGAUAUUCGCAAGAACACCAGUGGCGAAGGCGGCUGACUGGUCCGGUUCUGACGCGUGAGGCGGCGAAAAGCGUGGGGAGCAACAGG
Molecule: ribosomal RNA, 255 nt
Filed under: uncultured bacterium
Lineage: Bacteria
Description: partial 16S ribosomal RNA
Rfam family: Bacterial small subunit ribosomal RNA
Source: RNAcentral